AUGGAUCAGGAGCUGAUCGAGCACCUUGAGGCCAAAGUGAGUGCUGACAGCGCGAGAUCUCACCCUCUCAUCAAUUUGUUCAUACCAACCAUCGACAGCGAGCACGGCAUAUGCUACACCCAACCUGAGAAACUUCCAAGUAUCACACUGAGUGGUCUAAGGAAUCAUUUCUUCCAGCGCAAUUCCAGGGCGUUCAAACGGGGCACGUGGACGCGUCGCAAGAUACAGUCAGAGUGCGGCAUGCACACGAUGUGGCACAAGACCGGCAAUACGCUGCCGAUGAUGGCCAAUGGCUAG
Molecule: ribosomal RNA, 297 nt
Filed under: Triticum aestivum (bread wheat)
Lineage: Eukaryota; Viridiplantae; Streptophyta; Magnoliopsida; Poales; Poaceae
Description: partial small subunit ribosomal RNA
Source: RNAcentral